UAUGUCCGAGGAUAGAGGAAGUCGGGGCAACCCGGCUGGGCGUGAAAUUCUCC
Non-coding RNA from Haloterrigena turkmenica DSM 5511, 53 nucleotides. Lineage: Archaea; Methanobacteriati; Methanobacteriota; Halobacteria; Halobacteriales; Natrialbaceae. The record is from Rfam.